GAAAUGCGAUAAGUAAUGUGAAUUGCAGAAUUCAGUGAAUCAUCGAAUCUUUGAACGCACAUUGCGCCCCCUGGUAUUCCGGGGGGCAUGCCUGUUCGAGCGUCAUUUCACCACUCAAGCCUCGCUUGGUAUUGGGCGACGCGGUCCGCCGCGCGCCUCAAAUCGACCGGCUGGGUCUUCCGUCCCUUCAGCGUUGUGGAAACUAUUCGCUAAAGGGUGCCGCGGGAGGUCACGCCGCAAAACAACCCCAUUUCUAAGGUUGACCUCGGAUCAGGUAGGGAUACCCGCUGAACUUAAGC
Molecule: unclassified non-coding RNA, 299 nt
Filed under: plant metagenome
Description: partial contains 5.8S ribosomal RNA, internal transcribed spacer 2, and large subunit ribosomal RNA
Rfam family: 5.8S ribosomal RNA (bases 1-105)
Source: RNAcentral